RNAcentral lists this ribosomal RNA (356 nucleotides) under uncultured Alphaproteobacteria bacterium. RNAcentral describes it as "bacterial SSU rRNA". It matches the Rfam family "Bacterial small subunit ribosomal RNA", at positions 430 to 803 of the family's 1533-position model. The record is from RNAcentral. Lineage: Bacteria; Pseudomonadati; Pseudomonadota; Alphaproteobacteria.
GCUCUUUUGUAGGGGAAGAUAAUGACUGUACCCUAAGAAUAAGGUCCGGCUAACUUCGUGCCAGCAGCCGCGGUAAUACGAAGGGACCUAGCGUAGUUCGGAAUUACUGGGCGUAAAGCGCGCGUAGGCCGUUGAGUUAGUUAAUUGUGAAAUCCCAAAGCUUAACUUUGGAACUGCAAUUAAAACUGCUCGACUAGAGUUUGAUAGAGGAAAGCGGAAUACAUAGUGUAGAGGUGAAAUUCGUAGAUAUUAUGUAGAACACCAGUUGCGAAGGCGGCUUUCUGGAUCAACACUGACGCUGAGGCGCGAAAGUAUGGGUAGCAAAGAGGAUUAGAUACCCUCGUAGUCCAUACCAU